Small nuclear RNA from Dromiciops gliroides (monito del monte), 107 nucleotides. NCBI's taxonomy places the organism in Eukaryota, Metazoa, Chordata, Mammalia, Microbiotheria, Microbiotheriidae. The record is from RefSeq and is a predicted model, not a curated record.
GUACUUGUUUUGGCAGCACAUAAACUAAAAUUGGAACAAUACAGGGAAGAUUGGCAUGACCCAUGCACAAAGAUGAAACACAAAUUUGUGAAGUUAGGCUCCUUUGC